This 630-nucleotide long non-coding RNA is filed under the name Anas platyrhynchos platyrhynchos (common mallard). RNAcentral describes it as "lncRNA (ENSAPLG00000023054.1)". Lineage: Eukaryota; Metazoa; Chordata; Aves; Anseriformes; Anatidae. The record is from RNAcentral.
GUGCUACUCCAAAGCUAUAUUUCAUUUGACGGAUGGUAACAUAUUUUAAAGUGUUUGAUUAUCUUCUAGUGAGAGAUGAUGUAAAGUGCAAAGUGUCGUUGUUAUACUGAAUGUGAAAUAAAAAUAAAGGGUAUUCCUUUACUUUUUCCUUAGAGGAAGCAGGGAGAAGAGAGGUAUUCUCCAAGACAGGCAUCUUUAUGUUAAAAAUAACUUGUAAAGUAGAAAUGUAAUGACAAACUCUAGAAGUAUAACAAAACAAAAUUCCUUUCCAUGUCUCCCAGUAGAAUAUGUAUUAUUAUUUUUUUUAACUUAAUUGAGUUAAUCCUUGUUUGUUUACCUUCUUGAUUAUAUUAACCAGCAAGGUAGUGAUUAAAGGCAGGAGUGUAGCUCAUGCUAAUUACCCUUAAACCCUCCCCCCGAACCUGUUUCUUUUUAGUGAGAGAUGAUUACAAUAAACACACCUGCACUAUUUUACAAGGAGGCUUGGCCCUGGCUGGGCUUUCUAAGCUGCUGGGAAAAGCCAGAACCCAACCCUACUCACAAGAGAGCUCACGCAAAGCUCUUAUGUUGGAUAUGGGUGUAUGGUGGCUGAGCAAGGAGAGAAUUGGGUUUAGGAUUCAAAUAUGCUGA